CCUACACUCAACAAUACCGGAUCAUUUCAUCCGCAAAGGAAAAAAAUCCAUCACGCGGCGCGAAGCGGACAAAUGACGGUUCACAGAAAGUUAAUAACCUUCUGGAGAGAAUUGUAGAGUGGAUUGAUCCAGAAGAAGAUGUCGAUCAGUAUGCUCAGAGGUAUAAAGCCACG
Molecule: long non-coding RNA, 173 nt
Organism: Wyeomyia smithii (pitcher-plant mosquito)
Lineage: Eukaryota; Metazoa; Arthropoda; Insecta; Diptera; Culicidae
Exons: 3
Source: RefSeq, a predicted model, not a curated record